RNAcentral lists this non-coding RNA (173 nucleotides) under bovine gut metagenome. The record is from RNAcentral.
NGGUUCACAAUCAUUGUGAUGAAAAGGGAAUCGGGUGAAAAUCCCGAACAGUCCCGCUGCUGUGAUAUUCCUUUUCUGUGCAAACGAUUUGUGCCACUGAAUGACAAUCUUUUUGUUUCAUUUGGGAAGGCUGUUUGCGCUGGGAUUAAGUCAGAAGACCUGCCAUUGCCAAU